UCGUCCUCGUGGAUCGUCAGCUGAUGAGGAAAAUGGUCCAGGAGACGACGCUGACGAACGAAUCUAUCGAGCGCAUCUUAAUUGGUCGAAGAAAGACGAUUGCAUGCAUAUUCGUGGUCGUUUACCUGACUAACUCUUCUGGAAGUAUUUCUGUGAGUUUUCUACAGAAGCUGACCAUCACGAACUACCCACAUAUCAAAGUGCUGGCCAUAGGACUACCCGGAGGAGAAGCAGACUUCCUCAUGAGUCACGCCUUUCGGAACACCGUCCACGCCCUCUACUUCGCCCUGGUCUCCAGCAGCUGGGACAGCAAGCCUAUGGAGGCGCCCUGCUACGGGAAACCACUUGCCAGCAUCUACAAAACAUGCAGGGAGUAUAAAAGUCUAUCUCCGGUGUCUGUUCUGUGACGCUGGAAGCAGCAAAGUGGUCCUGACGGACAUUUGGUACCCGGAAACUGGCUGGAAGCGCCAAAGAAAUUUCUUUCCAG
This is a long non-coding RNA of Macrobrachium nipponense, 487 nucleotides long. RefSeq lists it as uncharacterized. NCBI's taxonomy places the organism in Eukaryota, Metazoa, Arthropoda, Malacostraca, Decapoda, Palaemonidae. The transcript has 3 exons. The record is from RefSeq and is a predicted model, not a curated record.